UUCUUCUCUCUUUUGUCUUGGCGGUUGGCGACUUGGCAUUUGCAAGUUUUUGGAAGUUGUGAAUUAUUGUGAUUGAAUAUUUACAGUAAUAAGUUUACAUAAACUUAUUUUUAAUAAGUUGAUCUCAAGUUAUAAUAGUUGUUAAUAAAUUGAGUGAGUGACUGUGUUGGCGGUUGGCGACUUGGCGUUUGCAAGUUUUUGGAGGUUGUGAAUUAUUGUGAUUGAAUAUUUACAAAAAAACAUGAGCAGUGAUGAAAACAACAACUGAUAACGAUGAAAACAAGUUACAUCGACAUCUUUUUGUGAUGCAU
Long non-coding RNA from Nilaparvata lugens (brown planthopper), 311 nucleotides. RefSeq lists it as uncharacterized. The record is from RefSeq and is a predicted model, not a curated record. The transcript has 2 exons. NCBI's taxonomy places the organism in Eukaryota, Metazoa, Arthropoda, Insecta, Hemiptera, Delphacidae.